UUUUACUUUAUAAAACAAACCCCUCCAUUUUGUGACAAUUAAACAAAUAAAACUCUUGCUCCUCGUGGGAACGAAUUUGAUUACACUAUAUUACUUGUUAAUUAGGUGGAAAAAUAUUAAUUCAUUUGUUGUGGUUAUGACACGCAUCAGUUUGGCUUGUGAAGUAUUGGUGGCUAGUUCUACCGUGUUUGAAGUUUUUAGCGAAAGCACUCACAUGGUGGACCUUGAAUACCAGACUUGCACCUGUCAAAGGUGGCGCGUAUAUGGUUUCCCUUGUCAUCAUGCUCUUGCAGCCAUACAGAGAUUAAACUUGAAGCUAUUAAUUUCAUUUCAACGUAUUUUACAAGUGACUAUUUUAGGAAGACUUAUCUACAUUCCAUCCAGCCGAUUCCCAACUACAACAGGCCUGUUGAAAUUCAAGAAGACGACACCAUCAACCCGCCUAUCGUAAAGAAGCAACCAGGUAGACCCCCAGGAAAAAGGAUUCUAAGUAAAGGUGAGAAGAAGGUAAAGAGGAAAGUUCAUUGAAGCAAUUGCAAGGAAGCAGGUCAUAACAGGGCAGGUUGUAAGAAUCCCCCGAAGUACACAACACCCUAGCUUUAAGCUGAAGAAGUUCAUUUCUGCAAGUAUUGAUUUUAUGCGUGGUUUCUUAUUUGUCUUGGAUUAUUUGUUUUUUAUGGACCAAACUUUUUUAUUUUUCUGCAACGUUGAUUAUUUGCAAGGAUCAUUUAUUCAGAUUUUAUAUUUUGUGAGUUCACAGGCGAAAUGUGUUUCUAUUCCCAGCGUGUGUCUUAUGAACACAGAAGGGAAAUGCAUGUGUAACUUUGGUUUACACUUAUAAAAUAUGUAUGUGUAACUAUUACUUACACAUUUCUAUUU
This is a long non-coding RNA of Papaver somniferum (opium poppy), 879 nucleotides long. RefSeq lists it as uncharacterized. NCBI's taxonomy places the organism in Eukaryota, Viridiplantae, Streptophyta, Magnoliopsida, Ranunculales, Papaveraceae. The record is from RefSeq and is a predicted model, not a curated record. The transcript is spliced from 2 exons.